CCCGCCCCUCAGUGAUAGAACGCUCCACUUGUGACGGAGAGGCGACGGUUGGAUCCCGUCAGGCGGCUCCA
Molecule: transfer RNA, 71 nt
Filed under: Kyrpidia tusciae DSM 2912
Lineage: Bacteria; Bacillati; Bacillota; Bacilli; Caryophanales; Alicyclobacillaceae
Description: tRNA-Thr
Source: RNAcentral